RNAcentral lists this ribosomal RNA (414 nucleotides) under uncultured bacterium. Its description in RNAcentral is "bacterial SSU rRNA". It matches the Rfam family "Bacterial small subunit ribosomal RNA", at positions 355 to 786 of the family's 1533-position model. The record is from RNAcentral.
UGGGGAAUAUUGCACAAUGGGGGAAACCCUGAUGCAGCGAUGCCGCGUGGAGGAAGAAGGUUUUCGGAUUGUAAACUCCUGUCUUAAAGGACGAUAAUGACGGUACCUCAUGAAUAAGCCACGGCUAACUACGUGCCAGCAGCCGCGGUAAUACGUAGGUGGCAAGCGUUAUCCGGAUUUACUGGGUGUAAAGGGCGCGUAGGCGGGGAUGCAAGUCAGAUGUGAAAUCUAUGGGCUUAACUCAUAAACUGCAUUUGAAACUGUAUCUCUUGAGUGCUGGAGAGGUAGACGGAAUUCCUUGUGUAGCGGUGAAAUGCGUAGAUAUAAGGAAGAACACCAGUGGCGAAGGCGGUCUACUGGACAGUAACUGACGCUGAGGCGCGAAAGCGUGGGGAGCAAACAGGAUUAGAUACC